This is a long non-coding RNA of Mauremys reevesii (Reeves's turtle), 226 nucleotides long. RefSeq lists it as uncharacterized. NCBI's taxonomy places the organism in Eukaryota, Metazoa, Chordata, Testudines, Geoemydidae. The transcript has 3 exons. The record is from RefSeq and is a predicted model, not a curated record.
AUAAAGGGGCUGAAGGGCUACAAACAAUUGAGCCUCUCGCAGUCUUCAUUUAGAGCACAAAGGAAGCAGCCCUUUGACUUUGCAUGGGGAUUCUGAUCUGAGAGUUUGGGUCAUCAAUGUUGGUGCGAAUACGUGCUUGAUGCUGUUGAUCUGCUUGAGGAAUAAUGGAGGGAAGGAGGAUACAUUUGGCUAACAGCUUCUGGUUGUAGGAUUUGUGUUCGCAAAC